Long non-coding RNA from Diceros bicornis minor, 268 nucleotides. RefSeq lists it as uncharacterized. Lineage: Eukaryota; Metazoa; Chordata; Mammalia; Perissodactyla; Rhinocerotidae. The transcript is spliced from 3 exons. The record is from RefSeq and is a predicted model, not a curated record.
AAAUGUGGCUUCAUCGUUAUUCCUUGGAGUUGUACCAAAAUGCCCCUCAUGCCAAGAUCAUCAAUGGGCUCUGCAGGUUUGACAUCGAGGACUAGGGGACGCGGAACUGCAGCCCAUCUGAAGCUGUGAGAUCGCCGGCCUGGUCUGCCUGAUCUUCUGGCCUCUUCCACCAUCAACCGCAGGUUUGCAGGCCAGAUGACAGCCCUGUGUUCCUGGGCUGACUUCCUCAGCAGCCUUUGUCACUACCACCUCAGGGAUCCUGGGCUGG